Molecule: transfer RNA, 107 nt
Filed under: Sphingomonas sp. CFBP 13706
Lineage: Bacteria; Pseudomonadati; Pseudomonadota; Alphaproteobacteria; Sphingomonadales; Sphingomonadaceae
Description: tRNA-OTHER
Rfam family: tRNA
About the family: Transfer RNA (tRNA) molecules are approximately 80 nucleotides in length. Their secondary structure includes four short double-helical elements and three loops (D, anti-codon, and T loops). Further hydrogen bonds mediate the characteristic L-shaped molecular structure. tRNAs have two regions of fundamental functional importance: the anti-codon, which is responsible for specific mRNA codon recognition, and the 3' end, to which the tRNAs corresponding amino acid is attached (by aminoacyl-tRNA synthetases). tRNAs cope with the degeneracy of the genetic code in two manners: having more than one tRNA (with a specific anti-codon) for a particular amino acid; and 'wobble' base-pairing, i.e. permitting non-standard base-pairing at the 3rd anti-codon position.
Source: RNAcentral
GGACGCGUAGCUCAGGGAAGAGCGCGCUGGGAUUUCUAAGGUAUGGUCGUGGGUGCAACCCGGUCAUACGCCUGGCGAGGUGCUGGUUCAACUCCAGCCGCGUACCG